This 379-nucleotide unclassified non-coding RNA is filed under the name uncultured bacterium. RNAcentral describes it as "contains 16S-23S intergenic spacer region". The record is from RNAcentral.
UCCGAUUUGAAUAUCGGCAGUCUCAUUAGAGUGCUCAACUGAAUGUAGCAACUAAUGGCAAGGGUUGCGCUCGUUGCGGGACUUAACCCAACAUCUCACGACACGAGCUGACGACAGCCAUGCAGCACCUGUGUCUAGGUUCCCUUUCGGGCACCGCUACAUUUCUGCAGCGUUCCUAGCAUGUCAAGGGUAGGUAAGGUUUUUCGCGUUGCAUCGAAUUAAACCACAUCAUCCACCGCUUGUGCGGGCCCCCGUCAAUUCCUUUGAGUUUCAACCUUGCGGUCGUACUCCCCAGGCGGGGUACUUCCUGCGUUAGCGCCGGCACCCAGAGGGUCGCUCCCCCAGGCACCUAGUACCCAUCGUUUACGGCGUGGACUAC